RNAcentral lists this ribosomal RNA (692 nucleotides) under uncultured organism. RNAcentral describes it as "bacterial SSU rRNA". It matches the Rfam family "Bacterial small subunit ribosomal RNA", at positions 684 to 1387 of the family's 1533-position model. The record is from RNAcentral.
AAAUGCGUAGAUAUCGGGAGGAACACCAGUGGCGAAGGCGGUCUCUUGGGCAUGCUCUUGACGCUGAAGGUGAAAGCUAGUGGAGCGAACGGGAUUAGAAACCCCGGUAGUCCUAGCUGUAAACGAUGGAUGCUAGGUGUGGGGGGUGUAGAUUCCCUCCGUGCCGCAGUUAACGCGUUAAGCAUCCCGCCUGGGGAGUACGGCCGCAAGGCUAAAACUCAUACGAAUUGACGGGGGCCCGCACAAGCAGCGGAGCGUGUGGUUUAAUUAGAUGGUACACGAAGAACCUUACCUGGGCUUGACAUACAGGUAGUAGUGAAGUGAAAGCGGAUCGAUCCUUCGGGGAGCCUGUACAGGUGAUGCAUGGCGGUUGUCAGCUCGUGCCGUGAGGUGUCGGGUUAAGUCCCGUAACGAGCGCAACCCUUGCUCUUAGUUAUACGUGUCUAAGAGGACUGCCGGCGGUAAGCCGGAGGAAGGUGGGGAUGACGUCAAGUCAGCAUGGCCUUUAUGUCCAGGGCUACACACACGCUACAAUGGCCGGUACAAUGGGUAGCUAAACCGCGAGGUGGAGCCAAUCCUGUAAAGCCGGUCUCAGUUAGAAUUGCAGGCUGCAACUCGCCUGCAUGAAGUUGGAGUUGCUAGUAAUCGCAGGUCAGCAAUACUGCGGUGAAUACGUUCCCGGGCCUUGUACA